Molecule: non-coding RNA, 29 nt
Filed under: Rattus norvegicus (Norway rat)
Lineage: Eukaryota; Metazoa; Chordata; Mammalia; Rodentia; Muridae
Source: RNAcentral
UGGGAAAGACCUGUUCCUGCAAUUCCAGA